AGUGAACGCUGGCGGUAGGCCUAACACAUGCAAGUCGAACGGCAGCACAGUAAGAGCUUGCUCUUACGGGUGGCGAGUGGCGGACGGGUGAGGAAUACAUCGGACUCUACUUUUUCGUGGGGGAUAACGUAGGGACACUUACGCUAAUACCGCAUACUACCUACGGGUGAAAGCAGGGGAUCUUCGGACCUUGCGCGAUUGAAUGAGCCGAUGUCGGAUUAGCUAGUUGGCGGGGUAAAGGCCCACCAAGGCGACGAUCCGUAGCUGGUCUGAGAGGAUGAUCAGCCACACUGGAACUGAGACACGGUCCAGACUCCUACGGGAGGCAGCAGUGGGGAAUAUUGGACAAUGGGCGCAAGCCUGAUCCAGCCAUACCGCGUGGGUGAAGAAGGCCUUCGGGUUGUAAAGCCCUUUUGUUGGGAAAGAAAAGCAGCAGGUUAAUACCCCGCUGUUCUGACGGUACCCAAAGAAUAAGCACCGGCUAACUUCGUG
RNAcentral lists this ribosomal RNA (492 nucleotides) under uncultured bacterium. Its description in RNAcentral is "partial 16S ribosomal RNA". It matches the Rfam family "Bacterial small subunit ribosomal RNA", at positions 29 to 507 of the family's 1533-position model. The record is from RNAcentral.